RNAcentral lists this ribosomal RNA (272 nucleotides) under uncultured bacterium. Its description in RNAcentral is "partial 16S ribosomal RNA". It matches the Rfam family "Bacterial small subunit ribosomal RNA", at positions 84 to 354 of the family's 1533-position model. The record is from RNAcentral.
CCGGCCGGACCGGGCGGGACGGGUGACGUAACGCGUAUGUAACCUUACCUUUGACGGAGGGGAUAACAUCGAGAAAUUGGUACUAAUACCCCAUAACAUCACCGGAGGCAUCUUCGGUGGUUGAAAACUCAGGUGGUCAGAGAUGGACAUGCGUUGUAUUAGCUAGUUGGUGAGGUAACGGCUCACCAAGGCGACGAUACAUAGGGGGACUGAGAGGUCAACCCCCCACAUUGGUACUGAGACACGGACCAAACUCCUACGGAAGGCAGCAG